RNAcentral lists this long non-coding RNA (1093 nucleotides) under Sinocyclocheilus grahami. RNAcentral describes it as "lncRNA (ENSSGRG00000028492.1)". The record is from RNAcentral. Lineage: Eukaryota; Metazoa; Chordata; Actinopteri; Cypriniformes; Cyprinidae.
CGAGAUGGUGUGGUGAAUCGGAAUGACUUCAGGGCUCUGUUUGACAGCCUGAUGUUUGUAACCAAAGAGAAGGAGUAUCAGAGAUUGCUUGACCUGUUGGGCCUUACGCCUGGCUGCACACUCAACUACGCUGAGUUCUACAACAAAGUUCACUCUAGCAGCAAGACGAAAUCACAUCACCACGAUAACACCUCAGGAGAUGGAUACCUUGACACUGCAUGUGACCAAGUUCAUGGCUAUUUGACAUCCAUUGCACAGAAAAGACCUUCAGAGCUCUCAAAGGUGAUCUACAUCCAGUCCUGGUCACUUUUUUGAUGCUAUAUGGCAGUUGUCUUGAACGUACACUGACACCUAGUGGCCUGGAUGUAGCAUAAUGCAAAAAUAUAGCUUUCAGUUACCAGUAUUGGAGUAAAAAUGCAUUAUAUUAGCAGGCAGCCAUGUUUAUAGCAAUAUGUGUUUGUUUUAUUAAGAUAAACUGAAAAGUAUUUGACCGGUCAUGUGAUCUCAAAAUGGUGGCUUCCAUGAGGAGACCCGCUACAUGUACAAACGUUUUAAUGAGGAAUUAAACAUACUUUUUACAUAACAAUUGUGUUGGCAGGCCAUUUGUCAGUUGGGUGACGAUGUUAAAAGCAUCAUGACCAAAAAUGGUCUAAAGCAGCUACUUUUUAAAUACUACAUGCCCAUCACACCAAACGAGUUUGAAAAACUCUGGGACAGAUAUGAUGAAGAGGGGAAGGGCUUUGUCACUCAGACAGAGUUUUUAAGAAAGCUUAAAAUCACAUCAGAUGAAGACAGCCAAUCAGACGCUUUACAAGAACAGCUCACCGAGAGGGCAAUUUCCGCACCUGACCUGGAAGUUAUGCUACAAAAUCUUAGGAAGUGGAUUGGGAAUGACUUUGAGAGAGUGAGUGGAAGCCUCGUGAUUCUAGAUAAAAACAAAGAUGGUCACGUGACCGUGACAGACCUGCUCUCUCUCCUGCACAGACAUGGAUUUCAACUAAGAGAACAACAGCUCACACAUCUACUGAACCUGUAACUCUCUAUAUCAGACAUGUUCAUUUACUCAAAAUAUGGUGAUUGUUAUUAGCUACUG